AUUGAACGCUGGCGGCAGGCCUAACACAUGCAAGUCGAGCGAGCGGCGGACGGGUGAGUAAUGUAUGGGGACUGCCCGAUCUAGGGGGAUAACUACUGGAAACGGUGGCUAAUACCGCAUACUAUCGGAUAACCCAUUGUGAAUUAGCUAGUAGGGGGGGAAAAGGCUCACCUAGGCGACGCUCGUUAGCUGGUCUGAGAGGAUGAUCAGCCACACUGGGACUGAGACACGGCCCAGACUCCUACGGAGGCAGCAGUGGGGAAUAUUGCACAAUGGGCGAAAGCCUGAUGCAGCCAUGCCGCGUGUAUGAAGAAGGCCUUAGGGUUGUAAAGUACUUUCAGCGGGGAGGCGUUACCCGCAGAAGAAGCACCGGCUAACUCCGUGCCAGCAGCCGCGGUAAUUC
This 403-nucleotide ribosomal RNA is filed under the name uncultured bacterium. RNAcentral's name for it is "partial 16S ribosomal RNA". It matches the Rfam family "Bacterial small subunit ribosomal RNA", at positions 30 to 526 of the family's 1533-position model. The record is from RNAcentral.